UUUCUUGCAUUUGGCUUAUCCAAUAAACCGAUUGAACUUGAUCCAAUCAAGCCCAAACCAAAUCUAAUUAAAUCAUAUUUAAUUAGACUUAAUCUCAACCCUUUAGCUUAAUCAAAUUAAGUCAAUUAGCAAUCAAAUUGCUAAUCGAUCCUCCUACAAUACUUGCACUAGGUUAAAUGUCAAUCAUAUUGAUCAUUUAACCCUAGAAUGAUUCUUAAUCAUUGAUCAACCAU
Molecule: long non-coding RNA, 233 nt
Filed under: Elaeis guineensis (African oil palm)
Lineage: Eukaryota; Viridiplantae; Streptophyta; Magnoliopsida; Arecales; Arecaceae
Description: long non-coding RNA (EGUI_LNC047505)
Source: RNAcentral